This 253-nucleotide ribosomal RNA is filed under the name uncultured prokaryote. RNAcentral describes it as "partial 16S ribosomal RNA". It matches the Rfam family "Bacterial small subunit ribosomal RNA", at positions 524 to 776 of the family's 1533-position model. The record is from RNAcentral.
UACGUAGGGUGCGAGCGUUGUCCGGAAUUACUGGGCGUAAAGAGCUCGUAGGCGGUUUGUCGCGUCGUCUGUGAAAUUCUGCAACUCAAUUGCAGGCGUGCAGGCGAUACGGGCAGACUUGAGUACUACAGGGGAGACUGGAAUUCCUGGUGUAGCGGUGAAAUGCGCAGAUAUCAGGAGGAACACCGGUGGCGAAGGCGGGUCUCUGGGCAGUUCCUGACACUGAGGCACGAAGGCCAGGGGAGCAAACGGG